This 271-nucleotide signal recognition particle RNA is filed under the name archaeon. RNAcentral's name for it is "signal recognition particle sRNA". It matches the Rfam family "Archaeal signal recognition particle RNA". RNAcentral also lists the same sequence under 1 other name. The record is from RNAcentral.
UGCUCGGGCUAGGUGGAGGGGUAGCCGUCCUCCCGUGCGCGAAACCGGCUAUAGCGCGGCCGAAUCCCGGUCAUGAAGGACUGCAACCGUAGACGCCGCCAAGACGGAUCGACGACCUUCUGUCCGGGAAGACUGCCCUAAUUGUUGAACCCCGCCAGGCCCGGAAGGGAGCAACGGCAGGCCAUUAGGAUGGUGCUUCUCGGGUCGCGGAAGCGAGAGACGGAUUGGCAUCCGCGCCUGCGCGACCGGUAUCGGUGAUCGGGGCCCGCUA